UGUCCUACGGGAGGCAGCAGUGGGGAAUAUUGCACAAUGGGGGAAACCCUGAUGCAGCGACGCCGCGUGAGCGAUGAAGUAUUUCGGUAUGUAAAGCUCUAUCAGCAGGGAAGAAAAUGACGGUACCUGACUAAGAAGCCCCGGCUAACUACGUGCCAGCAGCCGCGGUAAUACGUAGGGGGCAAGCGUUAUCCGGAUUUACUGGGUGUAAAGGGAGCGUAGACGGCGGUGCAAGCCAGAUGUGAAAGCCCGGGGCUCAACCCCGGGACUGCAUUUGGAACUGUGCUGCUAGAGUGUCGGAGAGG
Molecule: ribosomal RNA, 305 nt
Filed under: uncultured bacterium
Lineage: Bacteria
Description: bacterial SSU rRNA
Rfam family: Bacterial small subunit ribosomal RNA
Source: RNAcentral